RNAcentral lists this long non-coding RNA (643 nucleotides) under Equus caballus (horse). Its description in RNAcentral is "lncRNA (ENSECAG00000056615.1)". Lineage: Eukaryota; Metazoa; Chordata; Mammalia; Perissodactyla; Equidae. The record is from RNAcentral.
AUCUGAAGAUUUCAAAGACCUGCGUACACAUUAAUUAUUCUCAUAGCCCUACGUGGAGGAGGGGAAUCCACAGAAGCGUCAUUUGGGCAUCUUCCUCCGAUUGUUGUUGCUUCACAUUGUUUGAAACAAGAUAUCUCUCAGCAUCUGCAACACGCCUCUUCGGUGAGUGCAUGAUACACGCUGUGGGCGUGGGACCUGCAAGCUCACAUUCCCUGAAUAAUGAAUGUUUCCUUUGGCGGUGUGUAUCCAGCCUGAAGUUACACACAGGUGACGGUGGAGCAAGAGGGGAGAUUAGUGAACCCAGCUGUUCUACCCAUUGAGAACAUUCCUAAGAUGAAAGGCCAAAUCGAAGGAUGACAACAGCCUCCAUAGGCAAGUGGACAGAAUUGCUCUUUCAGCAGUGGAGAGGGAGAAGAGAUUCUGAUUUUCCAGUCUAGCUAAUAUGGAGAAACAAAUCCCUUAUACGUCUGACAACAGUGUCUUAAGGCUUUUUUACCCAGGACAAGGUAUAAUCAGCUAUGCUGGAAUCUUCGGAGCCCCAUAUUCCCCUGGAGGCCACGGCAUUCAUGUUCCUCCGGAGAUAAAAACCGCUGGCCUUUCAAACGUGAGUAACACCGUCUGGGACUAAGAUUGGAGCCUCACC